Long non-coding RNA from Gossypium arboreum, 1114 nucleotides. RefSeq lists it as uncharacterized. Lineage: Eukaryota; Viridiplantae; Streptophyta; Magnoliopsida; Malvales; Malvaceae. The transcript is spliced from 2 exons. The record is from RefSeq and is a predicted model, not a curated record.
UUGGAUGAGUGUCUGAAAAGGGUACAUACCUAAGAUGAAGGUUUGAAGUAAAAUAGCUUGUUACCAUUUGAAUUUUACUAUUCACGUUAAACUUCGAUAUGGAUAAGCUUACUCAUUAUUACUAUAUUUAUGUUCUAAAGAGUCUCGUCUUGCUGAUCAAGAGACAAGAGUGCGAAAGAGGAGCAGCCAAAAGGAGAAAGGAUAAAGAACUUGUUGAUGAGGAUAGAGAGUCUUGCACAGUUGAAUUAAGUGAUCAUAUUGUGGUGAUGAUUUCCUUAAUGAUAAAGUUGAAGGUGACACAGCGGUUUCCUUGAUGAUGAUACGUGCCUCUUCCAAGGAAAAAGAUCAAGUAGAUGAAGUGGCUGCCAAAAUUUCUAUUUCCCAGUCUUCUUAUCAUUCCAAGAAGAAAGGUGAUGAUGAUGAUGAAGUUGAAGCUGACACAGUUGUUUCUGUGGAGAAAAAAGUUGAUUUUCUUGGCUUUUCCAUUCUUUCUAAACAUGCGAACUACUUGAAAAUUAUUUACCAGAAAGAAGGUGAUUUUUGGGAGACCUUUGCAUCUUUCAGAGUUCAGAAAUAAUUUCUUUUAUGUUGGAUGCAUUAGGAAGAGCUUUGGUGAUAGCUGAUGGUCUAGCAUUUCUUCAGAAAAGCAACGUUCAUGGAUGAUGGCAUGAAAGCUGGAUUUAGACUUGAUUGUAUCGAUUUCUGCACAUCUAAAGCUCCAACUUUUCUUUUUAUGGAAGCAAACAAAACCCAAUUGAAAACAGAGAUGAAAGAAGUUACCCAGAAGAUUGCCUCUUCGCAAAAAGAGUUGGAGCUGAAGGAGGAUGGUGAAACAGAGUUAAAGAAGCAGUUUGAAGCUAUUUCUGAAUUCAGCAGUAAUAGUUCUUCUCCAUUAAGCUGUAUAGUUGAUUAAAAGUAUUUAUAUUUGUUUCUCUCUCUUUUCUAAUUAUAUGAAUGCAUUUCUUCAUUCAAUAAGGAAUAAUCAUGUUUUCAUUAGUAAAAGAAAUUCUCAAGGACCUCCAACUGCAACAGAUAGACCUCUAUUUGUUUAAUUUUAAAGUUGUUCGUGUUUGGUCAUUAAAAUUUUUAAUUUAUCUUUAUUAGAUUUAAAUAA